UAAUUGUUGAUGGGUUAGGCAAUGAGGGUUUGGAGAGAGAAACAGAGUGCUUUGAUUGAUGAAUUAAUUUGGAAUGGAAAUUGGGUCUGUAGAAACUAGGAAGGGGGAGCAAUAUAUUUGUUGAUGUUUCUUUUGUAGUAGUCCAGGUAACUAAAGCAUGCUUGACAAUGGAAGAAAGAGAACUGCUCAAGUUGAGUUGAGAAGGAUGUGAGGGAGGCUAUUUGGUCAAGUUCAUUUGUUUGGGGAUUCAAUCCAAGUGCAAAAUUUAGGUAAUUCAGGUAAUGGAUGUAGAAGAGAAAGAAACUGAUACCAAAGAGAGUCCUUUGCUUGAAACAGUUGAUGUAGAAGAGAAAGAAAUUAUACUAUUAAAUAAUGACUUAUUCUCACCUUUCAAAGAUCCUAGUUAUGUUUGCACUGGGUAAACUUUCAAGUUCUGACUCUAUGGGGUAUUAAGCAUUGGAAUUUGAUGACAAGCAUAUGUAUAGGUGAAAAAGAAAACUGGAAAGGAGUAAAUGAGGGUAAAAAAAUAUUUUACUCAUUAAAGGGGCUGUGCUUACAACCUUUUUGGCUGUGGCAAAGCAAUAGCUGCGCCUAAUUUUGUAGACAAUUUCAAUUUCCCCACAAUUAUAUGGUUUUAUGUGGUUGUUCCUGUGUUUUCUAGAUUAGGGGAGGAUGUUCAAGAUG
Molecule: unclassified non-coding RNA, 684 nt
Filed under: Hevea brasiliensis (rubber tree)
Lineage: Eukaryota; Viridiplantae; Streptophyta; Magnoliopsida; Malpighiales; Euphorbiaceae
Source: RNAcentral